UGGUCUCUUAUGCAACGGUAAAUCUUCUGCCCUCCUCCCAAACUAAGCAUAGUGUUUUUGUCACGUAUUUACGUAAUAUACACUGAUCAUGUAAAAAAAAAAGUUACUUUUAUUUCAAUUUUAUUGAUUAUAACAAGUUAUAACUCUUAUUUUCAUAUUAGGUUUGUUAGGAAGAGUUAUCUGUUGUUAUUGUAGGUUAACUAAUAAAUUCAUACAGUGUAGUACGUAUAACUUAAACUCUUGCUUUUUUUAUGGGAUUGAAAUUAAUUUAUAUGUGUUGUUUAAAAAUAAAUUAUAGGGAAGGGGGAAUGUCCACCAGUGGUGACACAGCAUCAAACAGGUGAGAAGAAGGGGAAUUUUUGGGAAUGGAAUGUGACAAUAGCAAAUCCAUGUCCUUGUGCCCAGAGAUAUGUUACUCUAUCUUGUCGUGGAUUGAAUUCUCAAGAAAGAAUAGAUACAAAUGUGGUGACUAUUUCAAACAAUUUGUGCUUCAUUAAUUCUAAUACUGGUGCUGACAUUGCUCCAUUUAGUCAAGUUAGCUUCGUUUAUGUAUGGCAGUACAACCGAAUUAAAUUGAUCCGUCAUGAGGAAAUCUGUA
RNAcentral lists this long non-coding RNA (598 nucleotides) under Nicotiana tabacum (common tobacco). RNAcentral's name for it is "long non-coding RNA (NTAB_LNC017226)". Lineage: Eukaryota; Viridiplantae; Streptophyta; Magnoliopsida; Solanales; Solanaceae. The record is from RNAcentral.